UCCGAUGGUUAUGUAUCUACUGGCCGUCUUGCUAUCAGAAUGCUGUUCAGAACAAAGAAACUUUGCUUGAGACUGUCAGUGCACGUUAGGGAGAAAAAACUUCUGCUGCAAACAAACUAGUAUCUUUUCAUAAUCACAUACACAUUUCUGUUCAAACUAUAAUGUUGGCUUGUUUAUUUGCUUAUUACUUCUUCUUUGCUAUCAGACUGUUGUCGAGACCAAAAAAAACAACAAAAAGGUGCUAAUGCAAGCACUAAGAGUGCUCAUUGUGGUUCCCUGAGCUGGUUGGGUGCUAGUGAAUUAUCUGUAAGAGUGCUCAUUCAUUUGUUUCUAUUUUUUUCAUAUGGUUACUUUGAUUUUCUCUAACAGCCAGGAACUAAAGUAUUCUUGAAGAGCCUAAAAACCCAUAACAGGGAUGUAGCUCUUGCUACAAUUGUAAGUUGUGAUCCUGAAUUUAACCUUGAUGGUGCUGAAAUUAGGAAUGAAUUCUGGGCGGUGCAUGUUGAUAUGGCACUUGUGAAAACUGAAUAUUUGGUGGGGAGUCGCGAAAACUGUAAUACUCUCGGUAAUGUAGAAAAAACAAAAAUUGCAUGGCCCUCAACCUUUGUACAUGACUAAUAUCUUGCCUCUGUUAUUACUUGCAUCAUGUCAAUGCAUUGUUUGUUAACAGUCCAUUUUGUUUUCUUUUUUUGUAGAUUCAAAAGAUAAAUGGAUGAGUAUAUGGGUGCGUGUCAAGUGUACUACAACGAUGAUGUUGAUGUUCUGCCUCAUGAUGGUGACAAUGAUGGAUGCUUCCAGUUUUAGUUAUGUUGUGGGGAUGACCUUCCUGUUGGAUGUCGUUCCUCGAUCAAGUUUUAGUUAAGUUGUAGGGAUGUUGAUGGAUUCUUUCAGUUAAAUUUCACUGUCAAGAAAAUAGUUAGAUUAUGCUUCACAUUUGGAUGAUGUUCCUUUUGUAAUAUCCACUAUUGUAAUCCAACAAUUUUAUCUCAUAUAUGAUAUAUGAUUUCUUCCUCUUG
RNAcentral lists this long non-coding RNA (1016 nucleotides) under Triticum aestivum (bread wheat). RNAcentral's name for it is "long non-coding RNA (TAES_LNC026759)". Lineage: Eukaryota; Viridiplantae; Streptophyta; Magnoliopsida; Poales; Poaceae. The record is from RNAcentral.